UAAGACAGAGGGGGCAAGCGUUGCUCGGAAUUACUGGGCGUAAAGGGCGCGUAGGCGGGAUGGCAAGUCGGUCGUGAAAUCCCUGGGCUCAACUCAGGGGGGUCGGCCGAUACUGCCGUUCUUGAGGGAUGCAGAGGAGACUGGAAUUCCCGGUGUAGCGGUGAAAUGUGUAGAGAUCGGGAGGAACACCGGUGGCGAAGGCGGGUCU
This 208-nucleotide ribosomal RNA is filed under the name uncultured bacterium. RNAcentral's name for it is "partial 16S ribosomal RNA". It matches the Rfam family "Bacterial small subunit ribosomal RNA", at positions 521 to 728 of the family's 1533-position model. The record is from RNAcentral.